GAUGAAGAACGCAGCGAAAUGCGAUAAGUAAUGUGAAUUGCAGAAUUCAGUGAAUCAUCGAGUCUUUGAACGCACAUUGCACCCCCUGGUAUUCCGGGGGGCAUGCCUGUCCGAGCGUCAUUGCUGCCCUCAAGCACGGCUUGUGUGUUGGGCCCCCGUCCCCGGUUUCCCCCGGGGACGGGCCCGAAAGGCAGCGGCGGCACCGCGUCCGGUCCUCGAGCGUAUGGGGCUUUGUCACCCGCUCUGUAGGCCCGGCCGGCGCCAGCCGACACCCAACUUUAUUUCUAAGGUUGACCUCGGAUCAGGUAGGGAUACCCGCUGAACUUAAGCAUAUCAAUAAGCGGAGGA
RNAcentral lists this unclassified non-coding RNA (348 nucleotides) under soil metagenome. Its description in RNAcentral is "partial contains 5.8S ribosomal RNA, internal transcribed spacer 2, and large subunit ribosomal RNA". The stretch from base 1 to 120 matches the Rfam family "5.8S ribosomal RNA", at positions 35 to 154 of the family's 154-position model. The record is from RNAcentral.